GAAAGACAUCACUCACAGAAGAAGCACCGGCUAACUCCGUGCCAGCAGCCGCGGUAAUACGGAGGGUGCGAGCGUUAAUCGGAAUUACUGGGCGUAAAGCGCGCGUAGGUGGCUUGAUAAGCCGGUUGUGAAAGCCCCGGGCUCAACCUGGGAACGGCAUCCGGAACUGUCAGGCUAGAGUGCAGGAGAGGAAGGUAGAAUUCCCGGUGUAGCGGUGAAAUGCGUAGAGAUCGGGAGGAAUACCAGUGGCGAAGGCGGCCUUCUGGACUGACACUGACACUGAGGUGCGAAAGCGUGGGUAGCAAACAGGAUUAGAUACCCUGGUAGUCCACGCCGUAAACGAUGUCGACUAGCCGUUGGGGUCCUUGAGACCUUUGUGGCGCAGUUAACGCGAUAAGUCGACCGCCUGGGGAGUACGGCCGCAAGGUUAAAACUCAAAUGAAUUGACGGGGGCCCGCACAAGCGGUGGAGCAUGUGGUUUAAUUCGAUGCAACGCGAAGAACCUUACCUACCCUUGACAUCGUGCGAACUUGGUAGAGAUACCUUGGUGCCUUCGGGAACGCACAGACAGGUGCUGCAUGGCUGUCGUCAGCUCGUGUUGUGAAAUGUUGGGUUAAGUCCCGUAACGAGCGCAACCCUUGUCCCUAUUUGCCAGCGAUUCGGUCGGGAACUCUAGGGAGACUGCCGGUGACAAACCGGAGGAAGGUGGGGACGACGUCAAGUCAUCAUGGCCCUUACGGGUAGGGCUACACACGUGCUACAAUGGCCGGUACAAUGGGUUGCGAAUCCGCGAGGUGGAGCUAAUCCCAUAAAGCCGGUCUCAGUCCGGAUCGGAGUCUGCAACUCGACUCCGUGAAGUCGGAAUCGCUAGUAAUCGUGAAUCAGAAUGUCACGGUGAAUACGUUCCCGGGCCUUGUACACACCGCCCGUCACACCAUGGGAGUGGACUGCACCAGAAGUGGUUAGCUUAACCUUCGGGAGAG
This 983-nucleotide ribosomal RNA is filed under the name Halomonas sp. MA2. Its description in RNAcentral is "bacterial SSU rRNA". It matches the Rfam family "Bacterial small subunit ribosomal RNA", at positions 467 to 1450 of the family's 1533-position model. Lineage: Bacteria; Pseudomonadati; Pseudomonadota; Gammaproteobacteria; Oceanospirillales; Halomonadaceae. The record is from RNAcentral.